GCUCCAGUGGCCUAGCGGUUUGAUCAUCCACCUCAGAUGUGGGUUGUCAUGGGUUCAAUCCCCAGUCGAGUCA
Non-coding RNA from Potamilus streckersoni, 73 nucleotides. The record is from the annotation of a GenBank genome assembly. Lineage: Eukaryota; Metazoa; Mollusca; Bivalvia; Unionida; Unionidae.